GGGGGCAUAGCGCGGAGGUAGAGCGCGUGCUUAGUAUCCAUGAGGUCCUGGGUUCAAUCCCCAGUACCUCCG
This 72-nucleotide transfer RNA is filed under the name Camelus ferus (Wild Bactrian camel). It matches the Rfam family "tRNA". Rfam says of the family: Transfer RNA (tRNA) molecules are approximately 80 nucleotides in length. Lineage: Eukaryota; Metazoa; Chordata; Mammalia; Artiodactyla; Camelidae. The record is from Rfam by way of RNAcentral.